This 497-nucleotide ribosomal RNA is filed under the name uncultured bacterium. RNAcentral describes it as "partial 16S ribosomal RNA". It matches the Rfam family "Bacterial small subunit ribosomal RNA", at positions 28 to 507 of the family's 1533-position model. The record is from RNAcentral.
GAUGAACGCUGGCGGCGUGCCUAAUACAUGCAAGUCGAGCGAACAGACGAGGAGCUUGCUCCUUUGACGUUAGCGGCGGACGGGUGAGUAACACGUGGAUAACCUACCUAUAAGACUGGGAUAACUUCGGGAAACCGGAGCUAAUACCGGCUAAUAUCUUGAACCGCAUGGUUCGAUAGUGAAAGACGGUUUUGCUUUCACUUAUAGAUGGACCCGCGCCGUAUUAGCUAGUUGGUAAGGUAACGACUUACCAAGGCAACGAUCCGUAGCCGACCUGAGAGGUGGACAGGCCCAACUGGACCGGAGACACGGUCAAGCUUCCUACGGGAGGCAGCAGUGGGGAAUCUUCCGCAAUGGGCGAAAGCCUGACGGAGCAACGCCGCGUGAGUGAUGAAGGUCUUCGGAUCGUAAAACUCUGUUAUUAGGGAAGAAGAAAAGUGUAAGUAACUGUGCACGUCUUGACGGUACCUAAUCAGAAAGCCACGGCUAACUACGUG